This 73-nucleotide transfer RNA is filed under the name Scincella potanini. RNAcentral's name for it is "tRNA-Asn". Lineage: Eukaryota; Metazoa; Chordata; Lepidosauria; Squamata; Scincidae. The record is from RNAcentral.
UGGACAGAAGCCCGCUGGAUUGGGUGUUUAGCUGUUAAUUAAAAUUUUACGGGAUCGAGGCCCGUCUGUCUAG